GAGACCCACGCCAACAGUUGCCAGCAUGUCCUCCGGGAUGGUGGGGACACUGUUGGGACCGCCUCUGCUAAAGAGGAGGAAGGAAUGGGCAACGGUAGGUCAGCAUGCCCCGAAUUAUCCGGGCUACACGCGGGCUACAAUGGUCAGGACAAUGGGUAUCGACACCGAGAGGUGAAGGCAAUCUCUUAAACCUGUCCUUAGUUCGGAUUGUGGGCUGCAACUCGCCCAUAUGAAGCUGGAAUCCGUAGUAAUCGCGUCUCAAAAUGGCGCGGUGAAUAU
This 279-nucleotide ribosomal RNA is filed under the name uncultured archaeon. RNAcentral's name for it is "partial 16S rRNA". It matches the Rfam family "Archaeal small subunit ribosomal RNA", at positions 1047 to 1325 of the family's 1478-position model. The record is from RNAcentral.